AUGAAGUGCCCUUCCGAUUCCUCGGCUGGCCGUGAUCCCUGGGCUCCUCCUCCGGCUUCUGGCGGUGGCGGCUCCAGCGAGCCAGCCAAGAAGCGGCAGCGGACCUCGAGCUCGAGCCAGGCCGAGGCAUCCUCGUCCUCACAGCCUCCACCGGCGCCGCCGGGGGACGCGAGAGAGGUGCCGGAUCUGGGGGAGGACACGAUGUUCGAGGUGCUGCGGCGGGCGGAGCCGCGGACGCUGGCCGCCGCGGCGUGCGUGAGCCGGGGCUGGCGGGUCCUCGCGCAGGACGAGCGGCUGUGGGAGGCACCGUGCGUGAGGGAGUGGACAGUGGACCGACCUCGGCUUCUCGGAACAGCUGCUCCGCGCCGUCGUGCUCUCUUUCGGCGGCUUCCGCCGCCUGCACGCCAUCUCCAUCCAGGCCCGACGGCGGUUCGGCGUUGGCUGCGGGAACUGGCACGGCGUGCGGACGCCGGGACAGGGGAGGAGGAGGGGGGUGCCGUGGACCGACGACGAGCACAGGUUGUUUCUCUUAGGCCUGAAGACGUACGGAAAAGGGGAUUGGAGGAAAAUAUCACGCAACUUCGUGCGGACGAGGACGCCGACGCAGGUGGCCAGCCACGCUCAGAAGUACUUUAUCAGGCUCAGCUCAGGGACGGCAAGGAGGUCGAGCAUCCACGACAUCACCACAGUUCACCUGACCGACGACCAGCCUCCCUCGCCGUCCCAGUGAUUGAUGAUCAACCAGUCCAGCGCACCGGCUCAGCACGGCAACGGGGCAGUUCUCGCUGCCAGCCGACACCAAGCAGCACGGCGCGUCGAGCGCGCCCUUCAGUUCGCCGAACCGGGCUCUCGGGAUGCCGAACUACGGCAGGGUUUGCAAGAUCAAGGCCUGCAGUGUGGUUCUCUACAAUGUCUACAUGA
This 921-nucleotide ribosomal RNA is filed under the name Triticum aestivum (bread wheat). RNAcentral describes it as "partial small subunit ribosomal RNA". The record is from RNAcentral. Lineage: Eukaryota; Viridiplantae; Streptophyta; Magnoliopsida; Poales; Poaceae.